This 1048-nucleotide ribosomal RNA is filed under the name uncultured archaeon. Its description in RNAcentral is "bacterial SSU rRNA". It matches the Rfam family "Archaeal small subunit ribosomal RNA", at positions 1 to 1054 of the family's 1478-position model. The record is from RNAcentral.
UCCGGUUGAUCCUGGCGGAGGUUACUGCUAUCGAGGUUCGACUAAGCCAUGCGAGUCGAAUGUAGCAAUACAUGGCGUACUGCUCAGUAACACGUGGACAGCCUACCCUGAGGUCGGGGAUAAACCCGGGAAACUGGGUAUAAUACCCGAUAGAUCUAGAUUGCUGGAAUGCUUUUAGGUCUAAAGUUCCGACGCCUCAGGAUGGGUCUGCGGCCUAUCAGGGUAGUAGUGGGUGUAAAGUACCUACUAGCCUACGACGGGUACGGGUUGUGAGAGCAAGAGCCCGGAGAUGGAUUCUGAGACACGAAUCCAGGCCCUACGGGGUGCAGCAGGCGCGAAACCUUUACAAUGCUGGCAACAGCGAUAAGGGGACCUCGAGUGCUACGAUACAAUCGUGGCUGUCUAGUUGCCUAAAAAGCAAUUGAUAGCAAGGGCCGGGCAAGACCGGUGCCAGCCGCCGCGGUAACACCGGCGGCUCGAGUGGUAACCGCUAUUAUUGGGUCUAAAGGGUCUGUAGCCGGCUUAGUUAGUCUCUUGAGAAAUCUGGCCGCUCAACGGUCAGGCGUUCAGGGGAUACUGCUAAAGCUCGAGACCGGGAGAGGUGAGAGGUACUUCAGGGGUAGGGGUGAAAUCUUGUAAUCCUUGAAGGACCACCAGUGGCGAAGGCGUCUCACCAGAACGGAUCUGACGGCAAGGGACGAAAGCUAGGGGCACGAACCGGAUUAGAUACCCGGGUAGUCCUAGCCGUAAACGAUACUCGCUAGGUGUCGGCCACGGUGCGACCGUGGUCGGUGCCGUAGGGAAGCCGUGAAGCGAGCCACCUGGGAAGUACGGCCGCAAGGCUGAAACUUAAAGGAAUUGGCGGGGGAGCACUACAACGGGUGGAGCUUGCGGUUUAAUUGGAUUCAACGCCGGAAAUCUUACCGGGGCCGACAGCGAUAUGAAGGCCAGGCUAAGGACCUUGCCUGAUUAGCUGAGAGGUGGUGCAUGGCCGUCGUCAGUUCGUACUGUGAAGCAUCCUGUUAAGUCAGGCAACGAGCGAGACCCA